Molecule: long non-coding RNA, 532 nt
Organism: Cimex lectularius (bed bug)
Lineage: Eukaryota; Metazoa; Arthropoda; Insecta; Hemiptera; Cimicidae
Exons: 2
Source: RefSeq, a predicted model, not a curated record
GAUCAAUUUUACUUAUAAUACACAAUUCUGUGGUGUUGUAAAAUUGAAUUGUAAGCUGUAGUUUUUGUUUAUAAUAAAAAUGUGUCACAUAUGGCUUUGGCAAAGCCAUUGCAGUUGUGUGUUUUCUAACUAGAAUUUUUUGGAAAUAAAAGGAGAUGGCCAGCUAUCGCUCUUGGAUUAAUUUAGAAGCUUUUGAUAAGACGUAAAAAGAAAAAAGUUACAAGCAUAUGCAAGACCUACCUUUUCUGAUAUAACUUUUCUUCAAGACUCGUUGAAAGGUGCCGACAGCUACAUUUUUCUUCUCUUUGAUACUUUUGUCGCCUGAAGCCAUGUUCAGUGUGUUCAAUGUUAAUUCACUUUGUGUUUCUUUGGGACAUUUUUCCCUUGCCCCCAAAUGAUAACUACAAGGAUUACAAAACUUUAGCAACAACCAUGGUAAACGGCCGUUUCAAGCAUACCUAGUUUUUCCAUUUUCAACCAAACUGGUGUCUUCUGUCACGAUGAUUUUAAAUAAAGGAUUAUCGGACUGACA